This 440-nucleotide ribosomal RNA is filed under the name uncultured bacterium. Its description in RNAcentral is "partial 16S ribosomal RNA". It matches the Rfam family "Bacterial small subunit ribosomal RNA", at positions 338 to 795 of the family's 1533-position model. The record is from RNAcentral.
CCUACGGGCGGCUGCAGUGGGGGAUAUUGCACAAUGGGGGGAACCCUGAUGCAGCGACGCCGCGUGGGUGAAGAAGCGCCUCGGCGCGUAAAGCCCUGUCAGCAGGGAAGAAAAUGACGGUACCUGAAGAAGAAGCCCCGGCUAACUACGUGCCAGCAGCCGCGGUAAUACGUAGGGGGCAAGCGUUAUCCGGAUUUACUGGGUGUAAAGGGGGCGCAGACGGCGAUGCAAGCCAGGAGUGAAAGCCCGGGGGCCAACCCCGGGACUGCUCUUGGAACUGCGGGGCUGGAGUGCAGGAGGGGCAGGCGGAAUGCCUGGUGUAGCGGUGAAAUGCGUAGAUAUCAGGAGGAACACCGGUGGCGAAGGCGGCCUGCUGGACUGCAACUGACGUUGAGGCCCGAAAGCGUGGGGAGCAAACAGGAUUAGAUACCCGGGUAGUC